Molecule: long non-coding RNA, 1127 nt
Filed under: Monodelphis domestica (gray short-tailed opossum)
Lineage: Eukaryota; Metazoa; Chordata; Mammalia; Didelphimorphia; Didelphidae
Description: lncRNA (ENSMODG00000039279.1)
Source: RNAcentral
UCCCUACUAGUUUCUAACCACUUCAUUUAAUCCUACAUACCACAAACAAGAUAAUCUUUCUAAUGUCCUGUUCUGACCAAACCAUUUUCCUUCUUAAAAUCCUUCUUUGGCUUCCCACGAUCUACAGUCUAAAGUCUGAAAUCUAAAGUUUGUCAUUCCAGACCCUUGUUAUUCAAGCUUUAAUCUGUCUUUAUAGAUCUGUUUCAUACAUUUUCCCUUCAUACACACAUAUUCCAGCUGAACUAUAUUACCUACACACUACUGAAUUUAUCCCACACUUUCAUUGUGCUAUAAGUUCUGAGCCUUAAAUGUAUGCUUGGGUUUUCUAACUCUGGAGGUUGGAAGUCUUACCAUCCUCUGCCCUUGUAAUAAAUCCCCUCCACAUCUCUGUUGAAUCCUUCCCAUAUUUCUUGGCCCCAUAUUGCAGAUGCUUCACCUUAGACUAUUUCUUUAUCUGCCCAAAGAGAACUUCUGUCUCUCCUUCAAAUGUCUCAUCACAUUAGAUCAUUAUCACAUGCACUUGUCCCACUCUGUUGCAUUAUGAAGAUAUAUUUGUGUUUGCCAUCUUCCCCUUUUGUAAGCUCCUUCAGUAUAGGCUGUCCUUUUUGUCUUUGUUUGCACAACAAUGCCAAGCAACAUCUGUGCAAAACAGGUCAAUCUGUGGAGUGGUGAUAGAGAACUGGUCAUGGAUUCAAGUCCCACCUCUGAAACAUCCUUCUCCUGUGAUCCUAGCAUUUAUAUAACUAGGGCUUUGCUUACCCAGCAUGUGAAGACUGUUUCGGUGGAACAGGCAGAAGAAACCAAUAAGAAGGUUCAACAGCUGAGAUGGCGACGCAGCAAAGCACUGUGGAGUGCUUAGGGCGUGUUGGAGCACAAAAGACAACACGGCCAUCCAAUGCAGCUGAGGAAGUCUCCAGGUGUAACGACUUUUCGUGCCACUGGACCCAGGCUUCCAACGCCGAGAGAGUGGGACUGUCUCUGUGCAUCGACUCUUCCACUUAAAUCUUCAUGCACAAGUGUCUUUGUGCACAAAAACGCACAAAGACAAUCAUCAUCCUUGGUUCCCGAGAGACUACUACUAUAGCAUUUAUAGAUUAAUUAUAGAUUACAUUUUACGUAUAUAUGCA